Molecule: ribosomal RNA, 1058 nt
Filed under: Cellulosimicrobium sp. WW-4
Lineage: Bacteria; Bacillati; Actinomycetota; Actinomycetes; Micrococcales; Promicromonosporaceae
Description: bacterial SSU rRNA
Rfam family: Bacterial small subunit ribosomal RNA
Source: RNAcentral
CCUGAUGCAGCGACGCCGCGUGAGGGAUGAAGGCCUUCGGGUUGUAAACCUCUUUCAGCAGGGAAGAAGCGCAAGUGACGGUACCUGCAGAAGAAGCGCCGGCUAACUACGUGCCAGCAGCCGCGGUAAUACGUAGGGCGCAAGCGUUGUCCGGAAUUAUUGGGCGUAAAGAGCUCGUAGGCGGUUUGUCGCGUCUGGUGUGAAAACUCGAGGCUCAACCUCGAGCUUGCAUCGGGUACGGGCAGACUAGAGUGCGGUAGGGGAGACUGGAAUUCCUGGUGUAGCGGUGGAAUGCGCAGAUAUCAGGAGGAACACCGAUGGCGAAGGCAGGUCUCUGGGCCGCAACUGACGCUGAGGAGCGAAAGCAUGGGGAGCGAACAGGAUUAGAUACCCUGGUAGUCCAUGCCGUAAACGUUGGGCACUAGGUGUGGGGCUCAUUCCACGAGUUCCGUGCCGCAGCAAACGCAUUAAGUGCCCCGCCUGGGGAGUACGGCCGCAAGGCUAAAACUCAAAGGAAUUGACGGGGGCCCGCACAAGCGGCGGAGCAUGCGGAUUAAUUCGAUGCAACGCGAAGAACCUUACCAAGGCUUGACAUGCACGAGAAGCCACCAGAGAUGGUGGUCUCUUUGGACACUCGUGCACAGGUGGUGCAUGGUUGUCGUCAGCUCGUGUCGUGAGAUGUUGGGUUAAGUCCCGCAACGAGCGCAACCCUCGUCCCAUGUUGCCAGCGGGUUAUGCCGGGGACUCAUGGGAGACUGCCGGGGUCAACUCGGAGGAAGGUGGGGAUGACGUCAAAUCAUCAUGCCCCUUAUGUCUUGGGCUUCACGCAUGCUACAAUGGCCGGUACAAAGGGCUGCGAUACCGUAAGGUGGAGCGAAUCCCAAAAAGCCGGUCUCAGUUCGGAUUGGGGUCUGCAACUCGACCCCAUGAAGUCGGAGUCGCUAGUAAUCGCAGAUCAGCAACGCUGCGGUGAAUACGUUCCCGGGCCUUGUACACACCGCCCGUCAAGUCACGAAAGUCGGUAACACCCGAAGCCCAUGGCCCAACCGUUCGCGGGG